This 252-nucleotide ribosomal RNA is filed under the name uncultured bacterium. Its description in RNAcentral is "partial 16S ribosomal RNA". It matches the Rfam family "Bacterial small subunit ribosomal RNA", at positions 524 to 776 of the family's 1533-position model. The record is from RNAcentral.
UACGUAGGGGGCAAGCGUUGUCCGGAAUUAUUGGGCGUAAAGCGCGCGCAGGCGGUCAUUUAAGUCUGGUGUUUAAUCCUGGGGCUCAACCCCAGUUCGCAUCGGAAACUGGAUGACUUGAGUGUAAGAGAGGAAAGUGGAAUUCCACGUGUAGCGGUGAAAUGCGUAGAGAUGUGGAGGAACACCAGUGGCGAAGGCGGUUCUCUGGGCCUUACCUGACGCUGAGGAGCGAAAGCGUGGGGAGCGAACAGG